RNAcentral lists this ribosomal RNA (497 nucleotides) under uncultured bacterium. Its description in RNAcentral is "partial 16S ribosomal RNA". It matches the Rfam family "Bacterial small subunit ribosomal RNA", at positions 28 to 507 of the family's 1533-position model. The record is from RNAcentral.
GAUGAACGCUGGCGGCGUGCCUAAUACAUGCAAGUCGAGCGGACGGACGAGAAGCUUGCUGCUCUGAUGUUAGCGGCGGAGGUGUGAGUAACACGUGUAUAACCUACCUAUAAGACUGGUAUAACUUCGGGAAACCGGAUCUAAUACCGUAUAAUAUUUUGAACCGCAUGGUUCAAAGGUGAAAGACGGUGGUGCUGUCUCUACUAGCUGGAUCCCCGCUGCUUUAGCUAGUUGGUGAGGUAAAGGCUUACCAAGGGAAGGAGGCAUAGCCGACAUGACAGGGUGGUCGGCCGCACUGGGACGGAGACACGGCACAGACGCAUACGGGAGGGGGCCGUAGGGAAUCGUCAGGAAGGGGUGAAGACCAGACGGAGAAACGCGGAGGGAGUGAUGAAGGUCUUCGGAUCGUGAAACUCUGUUAUUAGGGAAGAACAUAUGUGUAAGUAACUGUGCACAUCUUGAAGGUAACUAAUCAGAAAGCCACGGCUAACUACGUG